GCUGAGAAGCAGAUUUUAAAAGCAGUUUCUCUUCAAAUCAUCUUUCAUACCACCUGAUAAGCAUCUUGAUUCACCAUGGCAUUGGCAGCAGUAAAAUGGGCUAUAUCAAGCAGAACUAUCUUGAAAUAUUUAUUUCCAAUUCAAAAUGGAGCCUUAUAUCGUGCUUGUCAUAAAACUAUGUAUCCUUCUCUUCCAGAUGACUAUAAUUGCAAAGUAGAGCUUGCUUUGACAUCUGAUGGCAGGACAAUAGUAUGCUAUCACCCUUCUGUGGACAUUCCGUAUGAGCACACAAAACCUAUCCCUCGGCCAGAUCCUGUGCAGAAUAAUGAAGAAACACAUGAUCUAGUGCUGAAAACCAGAUUAGAAGAAAAAGGUGAACACUUAGAGCAAGGACCCAUGAUAGAACAACUUAGCAAAAUGUUCUUUACUACUAAGCACCGUUGGUAUCCUCGUGGACAGUAUCAUAGACGUCGUAGGAAACUGAAUCCUCCAAAAGACAGAUGAUAUUGAGGUUUUCAGGAAUCAAAGAGAAAUGUUAUCCUGCGUCUCAUUUGCCAUUUGAGAAAAUACAAUUGGGUAUAUUCACUAAUAUGUUAUAUAGUAAAAUAAUAAAAUGUCUUCUCAUAU
Molecule: RNA transcript, 627 nt
Organism: Aethalodelphis obliquidens (Pacific white-sided dolphin)
Lineage: Eukaryota; Metazoa; Chordata; Mammalia; Artiodactyla; Delphinidae
Gene name: 39S ribosomal protein L42, mitochondrial pseudogene
Exons: 1
Source: RefSeq, a predicted model, not a curated record